Molecule: small RNA, 18 nt
Filed under: Arabidopsis thaliana (thale cress)
Lineage: Eukaryota; Viridiplantae; Streptophyta; Magnoliopsida; Brassicales; Brassicaceae
Description: ATSL173680
Source: RNAcentral
AUGAAGAGGAAGCAACCA